GCAUCGGUAGCUCAAUUGGAUAGAGCACCCGGCUUCGAACCGGGCGGUUAGGGGUUCGAGUCCCUUCCGGUGCG
RNAcentral lists this transfer RNA (74 nucleotides) under Candidatus Aerophobota bacterium. Its description in RNAcentral is "Candidatus Aerophobetes bacterium tRNA-Arg". It matches the Rfam family "tRNA". Rfam says of the family: Transfer RNA (tRNA) molecules are approximately 80 nucleotides in length. Their secondary structure includes four short double-helical elements and three loops (D, anti-codon, and T loops). Further hydrogen bonds mediate the characteristic L-shaped molecular structure. tRNAs have two regions of fundamental functional importance: the anti-codon, which is responsible for specific mRNA codon recognition, and the 3' end, to which the tRNAs corresponding amino acid is attached (by aminoacyl-tRNA synthetases). tRNAs cope with the degeneracy of the genetic code in two manners: having more than one tRNA (with a specific anti-codon) for a particular amino acid; and 'wobble' base-pairing, i.e. permitting non-standard base-pairing at the 3rd anti-codon position. Lineage: Bacteria; Candidatus Aerophobota. The record is from RNAcentral.